Long non-coding RNA from Hypomesus transpacificus, 298 nucleotides. RefSeq lists it as uncharacterized. The transcript has 3 exons. The record is from RefSeq and is a predicted model, not a curated record. NCBI's taxonomy places the organism in Eukaryota, Metazoa, Chordata, Actinopteri, Osmeriformes, Osmeridae.
UGAAGGCUUUCAUGGCCUUGAAGGCACGGGAGGAAACUCCCCCUCAUGUCACCACUGAGGACAUGAAGUCCUGGCUCACCUCAAAGGCUACUGCAGCUUUCAGUGACAGAUUUCAGAAUGAAAUCAGUCAGGGCAAAGAUCUCUGUGUUGUCCAGCUGACGUGGGAAGUGAACACUCGCCUGAAGCUUGAUGAGAUGGAGAGAGAGCAGAAGCAUGGGACCAUGUUUCCAGUCUCCUCUGGUUCCAACGGGAACAGCCCCUCCAUCAAGCCAGUCAGGGAGUCACUACCGUCUCUUCA